RNAcentral lists this ribosomal RNA (253 nucleotides) under uncultured bacterium. RNAcentral describes it as "partial 16S ribosomal RNA". It matches the Rfam family "Bacterial small subunit ribosomal RNA", at positions 524 to 776 of the family's 1533-position model. The record is from RNAcentral.
UACGUAGGGUGCGAGCGUUGUCCGGAAUUAUUGGGCGUAAAGAGCUCGUAGGCGGUUUGUUGCGUCGGCCGUGAAAACCUGCAGCUUAACUGUGGGCCUGCGGUCGAUACGGGCAGACUUGAGUUCGGUAGGGGAGACUGGAAUUCCUGGUGUAGCGGUGGAAUGCGCAGAUAUCAGGAGGAACACCGAUGGCGAAGGCAGCUCGCUGGAACGGUACUGACGCUGAGGCGCGAAAGCGUGGGGAGCGAACAGG